GACGAACGCUGGCGGCGUGCUUAACACAUGCAAGUCGAACGGAAAGGCCCUGCUUUUGUGGGGUGCUCGAGUGGCGAACGGGUGAGUAACACGUGAGUAACCUGCCCUUGACUUUGGGAUAACUUCAGGAAACUGGGGCUAAUACCGGAUAGGAGCUCCUGCUGCAUGGUGGGGGUUGGAAAGUUUCGGCGGUUGGGGAUGGACUCGCGGCUUAUCAGCUUGUUGGUGGGGUAGUGGCUUACCAAGGCUUUGACGGGUAGCCGGCCUGAGAGGGUGACCGGCCACAUUGGGACUGAGAUACGGCCCAGACUCCUACGGGAGGCAGCAGUGGGGAAUAUUGCACAAUGGGCGGAAGCCUGAUGCAGCAACGCCGCGUGCGGGAUGACGGCCUUCGGGUUGUAAACCGCUUUCGCCUGUGACGAAGCGUGAGUGACGGUAAUGGGUAAAGAAGCACCGGCUAACUACGUGCCAGCAGCCGCGGUGAUACGUAGGGUGCGAGCGUUGUCCGGAUUUAUUGGGCGUAAAGGGCUCGUAGGUGGUUGAUCGCGUCGGAAGUGUAAUCUUGGGGCUUAACCCUGAGCGUGCUUUCGAUACGGGUUGACUUGAGGAAGGUAGGGGAGAAUGGAAUUCCUGGUGGAGCGGUGGAAUGCGCAGAUAUCAGGAGGAACACCAGUGGCGAAGGCGGUUCUCUGGGCCUUUCCUGACGCUGAGGAGCGAAAGCGUGGGGAGCGAACAGGCUUAGAUACCCUGGUAGUCCACGCUGUAAACGGUGGGUACUAGGUGUGGGGUCCAUUCCACGGGUUCCGUGCCGUAGCUAACGCUUUAAGUACCCCGCCUGGGGAGUACGGCCGCAAGGCUAAAACUCAAAGGAAUUGACGGGGCCCCGCACAAGCGGCGGAGCAUGCGGAUUAAUUCGAUGCAACGCGUAGAACCUUACCUGGGUUUGACAUGGAUCGGGAGUGCUCAGAGAUGGGUGUGCCUCUUUUGGGGUCGGUUCACAGGUGGUGCAUGGCUGUCGUCAGCUCGUGUCGUGAGAUGUUGGGUUAAGUCCCGCAACGAGCGCAACCCUUGUUCACUGUUGCCAGCACGUUAUGGUGGGGACUCAGUGGAGACCGCCGGGGUCAACUCGGAGGAAGGUGGGGAUGACGUCAAGUCAUCAUGCCCCUUAUGUCCAGGGCUUCACGCAUGCUACAAUGGCUGGUACAGAGAGUGGCGAGCCUGUGAGGGUGAGCGAAUCUCGGAAAGCCGGUCUCAGUUCGGAUUGGGGUCUGCAACUCGACCUCAUGAAGUCGGAGUCGCUAGUAAUCGCAGAUCAGCAACACUGCGGUGAAUACGUUCCCGGG
RNAcentral lists this ribosomal RNA (1343 nucleotides) under uncultured bacterium. Its description in RNAcentral is "16S ribosomal RNA". It matches the Rfam family "Bacterial small subunit ribosomal RNA", at positions 28 to 1378 of the family's 1533-position model. The record is from RNAcentral.